RNAcentral lists this ribosomal RNA (253 nucleotides) under uncultured bacterium. RNAcentral's name for it is "partial 16S ribosomal RNA". It matches the Rfam family "Bacterial small subunit ribosomal RNA", at positions 524 to 776 of the family's 1533-position model. The record is from RNAcentral.
UACAGAGGUCUCAAGCGUUGUUCGGAUUCAUUGGGCGUAAAGGGUGCGUAGGUGGCGCGUUAAGUCAGGUGUGAAAUUUCGGAGCUUAAUUCCGAAACUGCAUUUGAUACUGGCGUGCUUGAGGACUGGAGAGGAGACUGGAAUUCAUGGUGUAGCAGUGAAAUGCGUAGAGAUCAUGAGGAAGACCAGUGGCGAAGGCGGGUCUCUGGACAGUUCCUGACACUGAGGCACGAAGGCCAGGGGAGCAAACGGG